RNAcentral lists this ribosomal RNA (434 nucleotides) under uncultured bacterium. RNAcentral's name for it is "partial 16S ribosomal RNA". It matches the Rfam family "Bacterial small subunit ribosomal RNA", at positions 28 to 506 of the family's 1533-position model. The record is from RNAcentral.
GAUGAACGCUGGUGGUAUGCUUAACACAUGCAAGUCGAACGGACUCUUCGGAGUUAGUGGCGGACGGGUGAGUAACGCGUGAGAAUCUGGCUUUGGGUUCGGGACAACCACUGGAAACGGUGGCUAAUACCGGAUGUGCCGAGAGGUAAAAGAGAAAUUGCCUGAAGAUGAGCUCGCGUCUGAUUAGCUAGUUGGUGAGGUAAAGGCUCACCAAGGCAGCGAUCAGUAGCUGGUCUGAGAGGAUGACCAGCCACACUGGGACUGAGACACGGCCCAGACUCCUACGGGAGGCGGCAGUGGGGAAUUUUCCGCAAUGGGCGAAAGCCUGACGGAGCAAUACCGCGUGAGGGAAGAAGGCUCUUGGGUUGUAAACCUCUUUUCUUAGGGAAGAACAAAAUGACGGUACCUAAGGAAUCAGCAUCGGCUAACUCCGU